UUAAAAGGCUUGUUUCUGUUUCAAUGUGUAAAAUUUUAUUCGGAAAUCGUUUUAAACUUAGACUCGUAUGAAUAGGACUAGCUCAAGGAACACAUGUGCACCUAUUAUCCAAAUUUAUCUACUUUUGCCAUUUGCUUUAUAAAGUGUUCUUUCUCCAUGUAAACAAAUAAUUUAUAUUUAUUUCUAUUUAUGGACUUUCUAUGAAAUGUAUAUGUAAUUGUUAUGUAUGUAUAUGUGAUGUAUAUGUAAUUUAUUUCUUUUCUUUCUGUUAUAACAAGAUGUCUGAUGCUUGUACUCAGCCUGUUUCAGCCGUGAAAAAUAGCCUUUCUGAGAAGCCUCGGUUCCUUUUAGUGGAAAAUGACUUUAGAGACCAAGAUACUUUACGAAGAAUAACCAUGAUGUGCUUUUCCGCUGUCCAUCAGCUCAGACGCCCUUUCAACUUCCUUCUCCUGCCACCCAGAAGCAAUUUCCUUGCCUUCCACAGAGGAUGCCUCUUUCAAGGUGAGAACUAACCCAUGACAUUUAUACU
This 529-nucleotide long non-coding RNA is filed under the name Mustela putorius furo (domestic ferret). RNAcentral's name for it is "lncRNA (ENSMPUG00000026988.1)". The record is from RNAcentral. Lineage: Eukaryota; Metazoa; Chordata; Mammalia; Carnivora; Mustelidae.